RNAcentral lists this ribosomal RNA (497 nucleotides) under uncultured bacterium. RNAcentral's name for it is "partial 16S ribosomal RNA". It matches the Rfam family "Bacterial small subunit ribosomal RNA", at positions 28 to 507 of the family's 1533-position model. The record is from RNAcentral.
GAUGGACGCUGGCGGCGUGCCUAAUACAUGCAAGUCGAGCGAACGGACGAGAAGCUUGCUUCUCUGAUGUUAGCGGCGGACGGGUGAGUAACACGUGGAUAACCUACCUAUAAGACUGGGAUAACUUCGGGAAACCGGAGCUAAUACCGGAUAAUAUUUUGAACCGCAUGGUUCAAAAGUGAAAGACGGUCUUGCUGUCACUUAUAGAUGGAUCCGCGCUGCAUUAGCUAGUUGGUAAGGUAACGGCUUACCAAGGCAACGAUGCAUAGCCGACCUGAGAGGGUGAUCGGCCACACUGGAACUGAGACACGGUCCAGACUCCUACGGGAGGCAGCAGUAGGGAAUCUUGCGCAAUGGGCGAAAGCCUGACGGAGCAACGCCGCGUGAGUGAUGAAGGUCUUCGGAUCGUAAAACUCUGUUAUUAGGGAAGAACAUAUGUGUAAGUAACUGUGCACAUCUUGACGGUACCUAAUCAGAAAGCCACGGCUAACUACGUG